UCUAGAACAAGAUUGUGUCACAUGACGAUGCUCAACAAGGUUCAAUGGUUAAAUGAAGGAAGAAAACAAGAGGACUUUGGCAUAAGAUGCACAGCGAAGAAGAAAUAUAUAUGCUGGGCUUGCUGAAGAAGCUGUAAAAGCGAAAACAGAGCCCCAAAGGUGAUGACAACAGGUGCAAGUGUGACAUGGAGCAACAUGAAUUCAACCAGGGCAACAGAGGUAAUAUACUUUGCUCUCUGUGAAGCCCUUUGACUUGAAGAAAUAGUGAUCUAAGAUAAUGUCCUGCCAUCCAGAAGAAUUGUAGGCACGGGAGAGAUUGAAAUUGGUGU
This 329-nucleotide long non-coding RNA is filed under the name Homo sapiens (human). RNAcentral's name for it is "non-protein coding lnc-SPATA8-5:1". The record is from RNAcentral. Lineage: Eukaryota; Metazoa; Chordata; Mammalia; Primates; Hominidae.